This 442-nucleotide ribosomal RNA is filed under the name uncultured bacterium. RNAcentral describes it as "partial 16S ribosomal RNA". It matches the Rfam family "Bacterial small subunit ribosomal RNA", at positions 338 to 795 of the family's 1533-position model. The record is from RNAcentral.
CCUACGGGUGGCAGCAGUGAGGAAUAUUGGUCAAUGGGCGCAAGCCUGACCCAGCGAUGCCGCGUGAAGGAAGAAGGCUUUCGGGUUGUAAACUUCUUUGACAGGGGAAGAGCAGAAGACGGUACCCUGAAAACAAGCUACGGCUAACUACGUGCGAGCAUCCGCGGUAAUACGGAGGGGGCAAGCGUUGUCCGGAUUUACUGGGUGUAAAGGGCGUGUAGCCGGGAAGGCAAGUCAAAUGUGAAAUCUGGAGGCUCAACCUCCAAAUUGCCUUUGAAACUGUUUUUCUUGAGUACUGGAGAGGCAGGCGGAAUUCCUGGUGUAGCGGUGAAAUGCGUAGAUAUAAGGAGGAACACCAGUGGCGAAGGCGGUCUGCUGGACAGCAACUGACGGUGAGGCGCGAAAGCGUGGGGAGCAAACAGGAUUAGAUACCCCAGUAGUC